GACAGAGGGUGCAAACGUUGUUCGGAAUUACUGGGCGUAAAGCGAGUGUAGGCGGUGUGGUAAGUCGGAUGUGAAAGCCCCGGGCUCAACCCGGGAAGUGCACUCGAUACUGCCACGCUAGAGUAUCGGAGAGGUUGGUGGAAUUCUCGGUGUAGAGGUGAAAUUCGUAGAUAUCGAGAGGAACACCGGUGGCGAAGGCGGCCAACUGGACGAAUACUGACGCUGAGACUCGAAAGCGUGGGGAGCGAACAGG
Molecule: ribosomal RNA, 253 nt
Filed under: uncultured bacterium
Lineage: Bacteria
Description: partial 16S ribosomal RNA
Rfam family: Bacterial small subunit ribosomal RNA
Source: RNAcentral